This 482-nucleotide ribosomal RNA is filed under the name Massilia eurypsychrophila. RNAcentral's name for it is "bacterial SSU rRNA". It matches the Rfam family "Bacterial small subunit ribosomal RNA", at positions 219 to 693 of the family's 1533-position model. The record is from RNAcentral. Lineage: Bacteria; Pseudomonadati; Pseudomonadota; Betaproteobacteria; Burkholderiales; Oxalobacteraceae.
UCCUGGAGCGGCCGAUAUCUGAUUAGCUAGUUGGUGGGGUAAAGGCCUACCAAGGCAUCGAUCAGUAGCUGGUCUGAGAGGACGACCAGCCACACUGGAACUGAGACACGGUCCAGACUCCUACGGGAGGCAGCAGUGGGGAAUUUUGGACAAUGGGCGCAAGCCUGAUCCAGCAAUGCCGCGUGAGUGAAGAAGGCCUUCGGGUUGUAAAGCUCUUUUGUCAGGGAAGAAACGGGUGUGGCUAAUAUCCUCACCUAAUGACGGUACCUGAAGAAUAAGCACCGGCUAACUACGUGCCAGCAGCCGCGGUAAUACGUAGGGUGCAAGCGUUAAUCGGAAUUACUGGGCGUAAAGCGUGCGCAGGCGGUUUUGUAAGUUUGUCGUGAAAUCCCCGGGCUCAACCUGGGAAUUGCGAUGAAGACUGCAAGGCUAGAAUCUGGCAGAGGGGGGUAGAAUUCCACGUGUAGCAGUGAAAUGCGUAG